This is a long non-coding RNA of Rosa rugosa (rugosa rose), 821 nucleotides long. RefSeq lists it as uncharacterized. The record is from RefSeq and is a predicted model, not a curated record. The transcript is spliced from 2 exons. Lineage: Eukaryota; Viridiplantae; Streptophyta; Magnoliopsida; Rosales; Rosaceae.
AACAUCGAUCACAUUUUGACCAAAAAAACAUCGAUCACAGAUCUCUCUCUCUCUCUCUCUGUCCCCUCAAUAACAUCGAUCACAGAUCUCUCUCUCUCUCUCUCUCUCCCCCCCGCCCUCCCUCUUUUCUCUCUCUUUCUCCCCUCGAUAACAGAUCUUCACGUCUUUGUCUCUGCUUCCAAUUCCGGCGAACACCGGCAAGGCGCUAUCGGAUCUUGCACCAUCGUCGUCACCUUCGAUUUCCAGAAAAUGAAACUGAUCAAAAAAUUACAGAUCGAAUGAAAAUGAGAGAGGAGCAGGCGUCGGCAGCCGUCUGAUCGCUGCUUGAUGAUUGUGAUCGGAAAGUUGAGAGGAGGAUCGCGACGAUGAUGAAGGUGCACGGCGAGGCAAGGCAGCCCAGGCAUCGACGACGUCGUCUAGGGCUCAGUUUGGUGUUGACUCCUUCAAGCCUCCUGAUUUUCAAGCCACCUGAUUCUCAUGAAGGGGCUGUUUGGAUGAUGGCAAUGAGUCUUCGAUGGUGAGAUUAGGCGUAGGGAAGAGCGAGAGUACUAAUUCCAGAGAUCAAAGCUUUGUUACACGUUCAAAACCCGGAAUGAUGUAUUGUUACAGUUUUUAGAUUAGGUAGAAACUCAUUUGUUGAUAUUUGUCAAUUUGAUAGCUUUGGUUUGAUUUUGGUAAUUCCUAUGGAUUUUACGGCUUACUCUAGUGAAUGAUGCUCAUGGAUACAAGUUAUGUUGAUCGAUUAUGAUAUGUGCAAUACGUGCAAGGUUGAGCAUUGCAAGCUUUCGACAUUGUAAAUUUAUAGUUGUUUUAAUGUUUCA